UACGGGAGGAGCAAGCGUUGUUCGGAUUUACUGGGCGUAAAGGGCGCGUAGGCGGCCUACUAAGUCGGACGUGAAAUCCCUCGGCUCAACCGGGGAACUGCGUCCGAUGACUGGUGGGCCGUACGAAUCCGGGAGAGGGAUGUGGAAUUCCAGGUGUAGCGGUGAAAUGCGUAGAUAUCUGGAGGAACACCGGUGGCGAAGGCGGCAUCCUGGACCGGCAUUGACGCUGAGGCGCGAAAGCGUGGGGAGCAAACAGG
Molecule: ribosomal RNA, 257 nt
Filed under: uncultured bacterium
Lineage: Bacteria
Description: partial 16S ribosomal RNA
Rfam family: Bacterial small subunit ribosomal RNA
Source: RNAcentral